GAUGAACGCUGGCGGCGUGCCUAAUACAUGCAAGUCGAGCGAACAGACGAGGAGCUUGCUCCUCUGACGUUAGCGGCGGACGGGUGAGUAACACGUGGAUAACCUACCUAUAAGACUGGGAUAACUUCGGGAAACCGGAGCUAAUACCGGAUAACAUGUUGAACCGCAUGGUUCAACAGUGAAAGACGGUCUUGCUGUCACUUAUAGAUGGAUCCGCGCCGCAUUAGCUAGUUGGUAAGGUAACGGCUUACCAAGGCAACGAUGCGUAGCCGACCUGAGAGGGUGAUCGGCUACACUGGAACUGAGACACGGUCCAGACUCCUACGGGAGGCAGCAGUAGGGAAUCUUCCGCAAUGGGCGAAAGCCUGACGGAGCAACGCCGCGUGAGUGAAGAAGGUCUUCGGAUCGUAAAACUCUGUUAUUAGGGAAGAACAAAUGUGUAAGUAACUAUGCACGUCUUGACGGUACCUAAUCAGAAAGCCACGGCUAACUACGUG
RNAcentral lists this ribosomal RNA (497 nucleotides) under uncultured bacterium. Its description in RNAcentral is "partial 16S ribosomal RNA". It matches the Rfam family "Bacterial small subunit ribosomal RNA", at positions 28 to 507 of the family's 1533-position model. The record is from RNAcentral.